This 253-nucleotide ribosomal RNA is filed under the name uncultured bacterium. RNAcentral's name for it is "partial 16S ribosomal RNA". It matches the Rfam family "Bacterial small subunit ribosomal RNA", at positions 524 to 776 of the family's 1533-position model. The record is from RNAcentral.
UACGAAGGGUGCUAGCGUUGUUCGGAAUUACUGGGCGUAAAGCGCGCGUAGGCGGCUAUUCAAGUCAGAGGUGAAAUCCCUGGGCUCAACCCAGGAAUUGCCUUUGAAACUGUAUAGCUUGAGUGUCGGAGGGGAUAGCGGAAUUGCUAAUGUAGAGGUGAAAUUCGUAGAUAUUAGGAAGAACACCAGUGGCGAAGGCGGCUCACUGGUCCGGUACUGACGCUGAGGUGCGAAAGCGUGGGGAGCAAACAGG